AGCCCCCUGUAUGCGUGUUGAGAUUUCGUCAACCAUCAACCCGUUAGGGCUGAUGGUACUUCCCAAAUAAGUGAAGCG
RNAcentral lists this microRNA precursor (78 nucleotides) under Trichobilharzia regenti. RNAcentral's name for it is "mir-3492 microRNA precursor family". It matches the Rfam family "mir-3492 microRNA precursor family". The record is from Rfam by way of RNAcentral. Lineage: Eukaryota; Metazoa; Platyhelminthes; Trematoda; Strigeidida; Schistosomatidae.